UUUGGGCGCCACACACAGUAUGUGGAAUAUGAGCGCGUUAGUCAGAAUUAAUAAUGUUUUUUGUGGUGGGUGAAAAUAGACUAGAGAAUUACGUAAUACUGAACAGAAUUAAUAUAGCAUUAUAAAAAUGUGUGUGAGACG
This 141-nucleotide small nuclear RNA is filed under the name Cryptosporidium parvum. The record is from RNAcentral. Lineage: Eukaryota; Apicomplexa; Conoidasida; Eucoccidiorida; Cryptosporidiidae.